ACGGAAGGCAGCAGUGGGGAAUAUUGGGCAAUGGGCGAAAGCCUGACCUAGCGACGCCGCGUGAGGGAAGAAGAUCUUCGGAUUGUAAACCUUAGUCAACAGGGAAGAAGAAAGUGACGGUACCUGUGGAGGAAGCCACGGCUAACUACGUGCCAGCAGCCGCGGUAAUACGUAUGGAGCAAGCGUUAUCCGGAUUUACUGGGUGUAAAGGGAGCGUAGACGGCAAAGCAAGUCUGAAGUGAAAUCCCGGGGCUCAACCCCGGAACUGCUUUGGAAACUGUUUAGCUAGAGUGCAGGAGAGGUAAGCGGAAUUCCUAGUGUAGCGGUGAAAUGCGUAGAUAUUAGGAGGAACACCAGUGGCGAAGGCGGCUUACUGGACUGUAACUGACGUUGAGGCUCGAAAGCGUGGGGAGCAAACAGGAUUAGAUACCCUGGUA
RNAcentral lists this ribosomal RNA (437 nucleotides) under uncultured Lachnospiraceae bacterium. RNAcentral's name for it is "partial 16S ribosomal RNA". It matches the Rfam family "Bacterial small subunit ribosomal RNA", at positions 341 to 792 of the family's 1533-position model. Lineage: Bacteria; Bacillati; Bacillota; Clostridia; Lachnospirales; Lachnospiraceae. The record is from RNAcentral.